UACGGGGGGGGCAAGCGUUGUUCGGAAUUACUGGGCGUAAAGCGCAUGUAGGCGGCCUAGCAGGUCGGAUGUGAAAUCCCUCGGCUCAACCAAGGAAGUGCAUUCGAAACCGCAAGGCUGAAGUCCCGGAGAGGAUGGUGGAAUUCUCGGUGUAGAGGUGAAAUUCGUAGAUAUCGAGAGGAACACCGGCGGCGAAGGCGGCCAUGUGGACGAGGACUGACGCUGAGAUGCGAAAGCGUGGGGAGCAAGCAGG
RNAcentral lists this ribosomal RNA (253 nucleotides) under uncultured bacterium. RNAcentral's name for it is "partial 16S ribosomal RNA". It matches the Rfam family "Bacterial small subunit ribosomal RNA", at positions 524 to 776 of the family's 1533-position model. The record is from RNAcentral.